GGGAAACGCCCGGUCCCAUUCCGAACCCGGAAGCUAAGACCCACAGCGCCGAUGGUACUGCACCCGGGAGGGUGUGGGAGAGUAGGUCACCGCCGGAC
Molecule: ribosomal RNA, 98 nt
Filed under: Arthrobacter sp. Soil736
Lineage: Bacteria; Bacillati; Actinomycetota; Actinomycetes; Micrococcales; Micrococcaceae
Also listed under: 1 other name
Source: RNAcentral